ACGCUCGACACCUACGGGGGCAGCAGUGAGGAAUAUUGGUCAAUGGGCGCUAGCCUGAACCAGCCAAGUAGCGUGAAGGAUGAAGGCUCUAUGGGUCGUAAACUUCUUUUAUAUAAGAAUAAAGUGCAGUAUGUAUACUGUUUUGUAUGUAUUAUAUGAAUAAGGAUCGGCUAACUCCGUGCCAGCAGCCGCGGUAAUCUGAGCGGGCGUGGCGAAGGC
This 219-nucleotide ribosomal RNA is filed under the name uncultured bacterium. RNAcentral's name for it is "partial 16S ribosomal RNA". It matches the Rfam family "Bacterial small subunit ribosomal RNA", at positions 328 to 544 of the family's 1533-position model. The record is from RNAcentral.